UUUCCGUAGGUGAACCUGCGGAAGGAUCAUUAUUGUAUAACCGAGGUGCGAGGGCUGUCGCUGACCCGAAAGGUCGUGCACGCCCGAGGGCCCUCACACACAUCCAUCUCACCCCUAUGUGCACCACCGCGUGGGUCCCCCUUUGGCUUGUUCGGAGAGGGGCUUACGUUUUCACACAAACUUUGUAUGCAGUGUAGAAUGUAUUUUUUGUUUUUGCGAUCACGCAAUCAAUACAACUUUCAACAACGGAUCUCUUGGCUCUC
Molecule: unclassified non-coding RNA, 263 nt
Filed under: plant metagenome
Description: partial contains small subunit ribosomal RNA, internal transcribed spacer 1, and 5.8S ribosomal RNA
Source: RNAcentral